Long non-coding RNA from Bubalus bubalis (water buffalo), 433 nucleotides. RefSeq lists it as uncharacterized. The transcript is spliced from 2 exons. The record is from RefSeq and is a predicted model, not a curated record. NCBI's taxonomy places the organism in Eukaryota, Metazoa, Chordata, Mammalia, Artiodactyla, Bovidae.
UGGCCACAGAGCAGACAAGGACGAGCGCCUCCCCUUUAACCACCUGGUCCCUCUGGGGCUGUGUCUCCAGGAGCACUCCAGACACAGGGAUUCCUGUGUGAACACAGGACGACAGAGGCAUCUGGAUGAUCCCUAAGAGAAGAGAAGUGGGCUCCUCUACUUGUUCAGGUCAUUGCCUCCGCAUGAAAGAGAGUGGUUAGCGCACGAACAGCCUGGUGUUUUGGAUCUGCCCCAGGAGGGAAAGCAGACAAUACAGUGGAGAGGAGCAAGAGACUAUUGCCUGAAAGUUUGUUCAGAAAGAAGGGGGGAGUCAACCACCACAGUGCUCUGCGAUUCAACCCUGCAGCCUUGGGCUUCUUUGGGGGAAAAUUUUUUGGUUGACAGUGGAAUUAGAAAUUCAGGUUUAAAAAUAAAUUUGGAAUUGUUGUUCAGU